AACGAACGCUGGCGGCAUGCCUAACACAUGCAAGUCGAACGAGACCCUCGGGUCUAGUGGCGCACGGGCGCGUAACACGUGGGAAUCUGCCCUUCGGUUCGGAAUAACAGAGAGAAAUUUCUGCUAAUACCGGAUGAUGACGUAAGUCCAAAGAUUUAUCGCCGAAGGAUGGGCCCGCGUAGGAUUAGGUAGUUGGUGGGGUAAUGGCCCACCAAGCCGACGAUCCUUAGCUGGUCUGAGAGGAUGAUCAGCCACACUGGGACUGAGACACGGCCCAGACUCCUACGGGAGGCAGCAGUGGGGAAUAUUGGACAAUGGGCGAAAGCCUGAUCCAGCAAUGCCGCGUGAGUGAUGAAGGCCUUAGGGUUGUAAAGCUCUUUUACCAGGGAUGAUAAUGACAGUACCUGGAGAAUAAGCUCCGGCUAACUCCGUGCCAGCCGCCGCAGUAA
This 449-nucleotide ribosomal RNA is filed under the name uncultured bacterium. Its description in RNAcentral is "partial 16S ribosomal RNA". It matches the Rfam family "Bacterial small subunit ribosomal RNA", at positions 29 to 523 of the family's 1533-position model. The record is from RNAcentral.